AGUCAAUAGAUACCCGGGUAGUCCAUGCCGUAAACGAUGAUUGCUAGGUGUGGGGGGUCUGACCCCUUCCGUGCCGGAGUUAAACACAAAUAAGCAAUCCACCUGGGGAGUACGGCCGCAAGGUUGAAACUCGAAGGAAUUGACGGGGGCCCGCACAAGCAGUGGAGUAUGUGGUUUAAUUCGAAGCAACGCGAAGAACCUUACCAGGUCUUGACAUCCACCGAAUCCUGUAGAGAUACGGGAGUGCCCUUCGGGGAACGGUGAGACAGGUGGUGCAUGGUUGUCGUCAGCUCGUGUCGUGAGAUGUUGGGUUAAGUCCCGCAACGAGCGCAACCCUUGUGAAUAGUUGCUACGAAAGAGCACUCUAUUCAGACCGCCGUUGACAAACGGAGGAAGGUGGGGAUGACGUCAAAUCAUCAUGCCCCUUAUGACCUGGGCUACACACGUACUACAAUGGCCGUUAACAGAGGGAUGCAAUGCCGCGAGGUGGAGCGAACCCCUAAAAACGGUCUCAGUUCAGAUUGCAGGCUGAAACUCG
This 538-nucleotide ribosomal RNA is filed under the name uncultured bacterium. RNAcentral's name for it is "bacterial SSU rRNA". It matches the Rfam family "Bacterial small subunit ribosomal RNA", at positions 775 to 1314 of the family's 1533-position model. The record is from RNAcentral.